UACGAAGGGGGCUAGCGUUGCUCGGAAUUACUGGGCGUAAAGGGCGCGUAGGCGGACAGUUUAGUCAGAGGUGAAAGCCCAGGGCUCAACCUUGGAAUUGCCUUUGAUACUGGCUGUCUUGAGUUCGGGAGAGGUGAGUGGAACUGCGAGUGUAGAGGUGAAAUUCGUAGAUAUUCGCAAGAACACCAGUGGCGAAGGCGGCUCACUGGCCCGAUACUGACGCUGAGGUGCGAAAGCGUGGGGAGCAAACAGG
Molecule: ribosomal RNA, 253 nt
Filed under: uncultured bacterium
Lineage: Bacteria
Description: partial 16S ribosomal RNA
Rfam family: Bacterial small subunit ribosomal RNA
Source: RNAcentral